GGAAGGAUCAUUGAAUCUAUCACAAUCCACACCUGUGAACUUGCUUGUUGGCCUCUGCAUGUGCUUCGGUAUGUGCAGGUUGAGCCGAUCGGAUUAACUUCUGGUCGGCUUGGGGCCUCAACCCAAUCCUCGGAUUGGUUUGGGGUCGGUCUCUAUUAACAACCAACACCAAACCAAACUAUAAAAAAACUGAGAAUGGCUUAGAGCCAAACUCACUAACCAAGACAACUCUGAACAACGGAUAUCUUGGCUAGCACAACGAUGAAGAACGCAGCGAAAUGCGAUACGUAGUGUGAAUUGCAGAAAUACGUGAACCAUCGAAUCUUUGAACGCAAAUUGCGCUCGCGGCUUCGGCCAAGAGCAUGCCUGCCUCAGCGUCGGGUUAAUACUCGCCAAAAUUCUCCUAGGAGAGUCUAAGCGGACCUGGCUUUCCCGAUCCCAUUCAGUUGGAGUCGGGUUGGCUGAAGUACAGAGGUUGACGCAUGGACCCGCUAUGGGCCUCAACUGGGUAGGCAAUUCGUUGCUAAAUGCUUUAGUUGAUGGCUUGGGACUACGCAAUGUCGGCCCGAACCAGGAACCGAGCUUGCUCGGACAAUUAACCAUUUUCUCGACCUGAGCUCAGACAAGAUUACCCGCUGAACUUAAGCAUAUCAAUAAGCGGAGGAAAAGAAACUAACAAGGAUUCCCCUAGUAACGGCGAGCGAAGCGGGAAUAGCCCAACUUGAAAAUCUCCCUUUGGAGAAUUGUAGUCUAGAGAAGCGCCCUCUGGGUUAAACGGAGCUCAAGUCGGAUCGAAUGCCGCGUCAGAGAGGGUGAUAACCCCGUCGGCUCCUGUUUUAAUCCUUCACGAGGUGCUUUCCACGAGUCGGGUUGUUUGGGAAUGCAGCCCUAAUUUGGAGGUAAAUCCCUUCUAAGGCUAAAUAUAUGGUGCUAGACCGACAGCGAACAAGUACCGUGAGGGAAAGAUGAAAAGAACUUUGAAAAGAGAGUUAAAAGUGCUUGAAAUUGUUCAGAGGGAAGCGUUUGGAGUCCAUAGGUGCGCCCAGGCUUAAGCGAGCCUAAAAACUCGUUGAAUGUGCUGGGAGCUGGUCAGCGCGGGUUGGUUUGGCGGGAUAACAGUCGGGUCUACCCAGGUAACCUGGCCUAUGCCGCCGAGCCGAUCAAGGUGUGAAGAUUGCUUUGUCCUCCGGGAUCUGCAUUCUAAAGGCGCUGGCAGAAGGGCUUCAACCGACCCGUCUUGAAACACGGACCGAGGAGUCUAACAUGUAUGCGAGUUGGCGGGUGGUAAACCCGUAAGCGCAAGUAACCUGACUGGAGGGAUGGCUUAUGCCUGCACCUUCGACCGACCAUGUUGCUUUUGCGAAAGGUUUGAGUGCGAGCAUACCUGUUGGGACCCGAAAGAUGGUGAACUAUGCCUGAGCAGGGUGAAGCCAGAGGAAACUCUGGUGGAGGCUCGUAGAUGUGCUGACGUGCAAAUCGCUUUUCGGACUUGGGUAUAGGGGCGAAAGACUAAUCGAACCAUCUAGUAGCUGGUUCCCUC
Molecule: unclassified non-coding RNA, 1540 nt
Filed under: uncultured fungus
Lineage: Eukaryota; Fungi
Description: sequence contains 18S rRNA gene, ITS1, 5.8S rRNA gene, ITS2, 28S rRNA gene
Rfam family: Eukaryotic large subunit ribosomal RNA (bases 609-1540)
Source: RNAcentral